AACGAACGCUGGCGGCAUGCCUAACACAUGCAAGUCGAACGGAACGUCCGGGUUUAGGGGCGGACGGGGGGGUAAGGCGGGGGAACCUGCCCUUGGGUUCGGAAUAACUCCCCGAAAGGGGUGCUAAUACCGGUUAAUGUCUUCGGACCAACGAUUUAUCGCCUUUGGAUGGGCGCGCGUUGGAUUAGCUGGUUGGUAGGGUACAAGCAUACCAAGGCGACGAUCCAGAGCUGGUCUGAGAGGAUGAUCAGCCACAAUGGGACUGAGACACGGCCCAGACUCCUACGCAAGGCAGCAGUGGGUUAUAUUGGACAAUGGGCGAUAGCCUGAUCCAGCAAUGCCGCGUGAGUGAUGAAGGCCUUAGUGUUGUAAAGCUCUUUUACACGGGACGAUAAUGACAGUACCGGGAGAAUAAGCUCCGGCUAACUCCGUG
RNAcentral lists this ribosomal RNA (433 nucleotides) under uncultured bacterium. RNAcentral describes it as "partial 16S ribosomal RNA". It matches the Rfam family "Bacterial small subunit ribosomal RNA", at positions 29 to 507 of the family's 1533-position model. The record is from RNAcentral.